Molecule: ribosomal RNA, 475 nt
Filed under: uncultured Actinomycetes bacterium
Lineage: Bacteria; Bacillati; Actinomycetota; Actinomycetes
Description: bacterial SSU rRNA
Rfam family: Bacterial small subunit ribosomal RNA
Source: RNAcentral
GGAGCAUGCGGCUUAAUUCGACGCAACGCGAAGAACCUUACCAAGGCUUGACAUAUACAGGAAUAUGGCAGAGAUGUCAUAGCCGCAAGGUCUGUAUACAGGUGGUGCAUGGUUGUCGUCAGCUCGUGUCGUGAGAUGUUGGGUUAAGUCCCGCAACGAGCGCAACCCUCGUUCUGUGUUGCCAGCAUUUAGUUGGGGACUCACAGGAGACUGCCGGGGUUAACUCGGAGGAAGGUGGGGAUGACGUCAAAUCAUCAUGCCCCUUAUGUCUUGGGCUGCACGCAUGCUACAAUGGCUGGUACAAACGGCUGCAAUACCGCAAGGUGGAGCGAAUCCGAGAAAGCCAGUCUCAGUUCGGAUUGGGGUCUGCAACUCGACCCCAUGAAGUCGGAGUUGCUAGUAAUCGUAGAUCAGCAACGCUACGGUGAAUACGUUCCCGGGGCUUGUACACACCGCCCGUCACGUCACGAAAGUC